GACGAACGCUGGCGGUGUGCUUAACACAUGCAAGUCGAACGGUAAGGCCCUUUCGGGGGUCCACGAGUGGCGAACGGGUGCGUAACACGUGAGUAACCUGCCCUCAUCUCUGGGAUAACAGUCGGAAACGGUUGCUAAUACUGGAUAUGAGCUUGCAAGGCAUCUUGUGGGUUGGAAAGAUUUUUUUUGGUUGGGGAUGGACUCGCGGCCUAUCAGCUUGUUGGUGAGGUAGUGGCUCACCAAGGCUUCGACGGGUAGCCGGCCUGAGAGGGCGACCGGCCACAUUGGGACUGAGAUACGGCCCAAACUCCUACGGGAGGCAGCAGUGGGGAAUAUUGCACAAUGGACGGAAGUCUGAUGCAGCAACGCCGCGUGCGGGAUGACGGCCUUCGGGUUGUAAACCGCUGUCAAUUGUGACGAAGCGUUUUUGUGGCGGUAGCAGUAGAAGAAGCACCGGCUAACUACGUG
RNAcentral lists this ribosomal RNA (468 nucleotides) under uncultured bacterium. RNAcentral describes it as "partial 16S ribosomal RNA". It matches the Rfam family "Bacterial small subunit ribosomal RNA", at positions 28 to 507 of the family's 1533-position model. The record is from RNAcentral.